GUCAACAUAGUUUAAUAAAAACAUUAGGAUGUGGAUCUAAAAAAAGAAGCUCAACCCUUCUUGUUGACC
This 69-nucleotide transfer RNA is filed under the name Plestiodon japonicus. Its description in RNAcentral is "tRNA-His". It matches the Rfam family "tRNA". From Rfam's summary of the family: Transfer RNA (tRNA) molecules are approximately 80 nucleotides in length. Their secondary structure includes four short double-helical elements and three loops (D, anti-codon, and T loops). The record is from RNAcentral. RNAcentral also lists the same sequence under 5 other names. Lineage: Eukaryota; Metazoa; Chordata; Lepidosauria; Squamata; Scincidae.